GACGAACGCUGGCGGCGUGCUUAACACAUGCAAGUCGAGCGGUAAGGCCCUUUCGGGGUACGACGAGCGGCGAACGGGUGAGUAACACGUGGGUGACCUGCCCUCAGCUCUGGGAUAAGCCUGGGAAACUGGGUCUAAUACUGGAUAUGACUCCACGGUGCAUGUCGUGGGGUGGAAAGCCUUGUGCGGCUGAGGAUGGGCCCGCGGCCUAUCAGCUUGUU
This 221-nucleotide ribosomal RNA is filed under the name uncultured bacterium. RNAcentral describes it as "partial 16S ribosomal RNA". It matches the Rfam family "Bacterial small subunit ribosomal RNA", at positions 28 to 250 of the family's 1533-position model. The record is from RNAcentral.